GUUCCUUGCCAAUGUAGAAAGGUGGGGGGUGGUCAUCACAGUGCUUGUCCUCUGGCAGGCAAACUAUCCCACUAAGAUCUCUUCUACCCUUUAUGUGCUGCUUGUCCUUUUCACUCAAUUCUCCUCUCCUCCUCUUCUCUGGCUAUUCUUCACUUUCAAAAGUAAAAGCUGCUAUAUUACUUUCCAUUUUUUUUUCUUCCUUUCUUU
This 207-nucleotide unclassified non-coding RNA is filed under the name Hevea brasiliensis (rubber tree). Lineage: Eukaryota; Viridiplantae; Streptophyta; Magnoliopsida; Malpighiales; Euphorbiaceae. The record is from RNAcentral.